This 72-nucleotide transfer RNA is filed under the name Camelus bactrianus (Bactrian camel). It matches the Rfam family "tRNA". Rfam says of the family: Transfer RNA (tRNA) molecules are approximately 80 nucleotides in length. Their secondary structure includes four short double-helical elements and three loops (D, anti-codon, and T loops). Lineage: Eukaryota; Metazoa; Chordata; Mammalia; Artiodactyla; Camelidae. RNAcentral also lists the same sequence under 2 other names. The record is from Rfam by way of RNAcentral.
GGGUAUAUAGCUCAGUGGUAGAGUACAUGCCUAGCAUGCACGAGGUCCUGAGUUCAAUCCCCAGUACCUCCA